This is a non-coding RNA of Sus scrofa (pig), 285 nucleotides long. The record is from Rfam. NCBI's taxonomy places the organism in Eukaryota, Metazoa, Chordata, Mammalia, Artiodactyla, Suidae.
GGAUGUGAGGGCGAUCUGGUUGCAACAUCUGUCACCCCAUUGAUCGCCAGGGUUGAUUCGGCUGCUCUGGCUGGCUAGGCGGGUGUCCCCUUCCUCCCUUACCGCUCCCGGUGUGUCCCUCCCAAAGCUGUGGAAGAGGCCGACCAUCCCCGAUGGAGGAGGACCGUUCUUCAGUCAAGGGUACACGAGUAGCUGCGCUCCCCUGCUAGAACCUCCAAACAAGCUCUCGAAAAAUAACGUGGCCUGAUUUUCAACAUAAAUACCUGUAUCUAACCCAGUCUAUCU